GGCCUCGUGGCCCAAUGGCAAGGCGUCUGACUACGACGGAGAGUUCAGUAAACGGAUUCUUUCGGGUGAUCAGGAGAUUCUGGGUUCGACCCCCAGCGAGGUCA
Nemania abortiva is the source of this 104-nucleotide non-coding RNA. Lineage: Eukaryota; Fungi; Ascomycota; Sordariomycetes; Xylariales; Xylariaceae. The record is from the annotation of a GenBank genome assembly.